CCUACGGGCGGCACCAGUGGGGAAUAUUGGACAAUGGGGGAAACCCUGAUCCAGCCAUGCCGCGUGUGUGAAGAAGGCCUUAUGGUUGUAAAGCACUUUAAGCGAGGAGGAGGCUUACCUAACUAAUACUUAGGCUAAGUGGACGUUACUCGCAAAAUAAGCACCGGCUAACUCUGUGCCAGCAGCCGCGGUAAUACAGAGGGUGCGAGCGUUAAUCGGAUUUACUGGGCGUAAAGCGUGCGUAGGCGGCUUAUUAAGUCGGAUGUGAAAUCCCCGAGCUUAACUUGGGAAUUGCAUUCGAUACUGGUAAGCUAGAGUAUGGGAGAGGAUGGUAGAAUUCCAGGUGCAGCGGUGAAAUGCGUAGAGAUCUGGAGGAAUACCGAUGGCGAAGGCAGCCAUCUGGCCUAAUACUGACGCUGAGGUACGAAAGCAUGGGGAGCAAACAGGAUUAGAUACCCUAGUAGUC
This 466-nucleotide ribosomal RNA is filed under the name uncultured bacterium. RNAcentral's name for it is "bacterial SSU rRNA". It matches the Rfam family "Bacterial small subunit ribosomal RNA", at positions 338 to 795 of the family's 1533-position model. The record is from RNAcentral.